UAAAGUAAAGCUUUAAAUAAAGUAUCCUUUGAAGGAGGAAAGAUUGUUGUUAUUAUACUUUAA
Molecule: transfer RNA, 63 nt
Filed under: Pagurus minutus
Lineage: Eukaryota; Metazoa; Arthropoda; Malacostraca; Decapoda; Paguridae
Description: tRNA-Ser
Source: RNAcentral